CGGGCUAUAGCGCAGCUUGGUAGCGCACUUGUCUGGGGGACAAGGGGUCGUGGGUUCAAAUCCCGCUAGCCCGAC
RNAcentral lists this transfer RNA (75 nucleotides) under uncultured Rhodoluna sp. Its description in RNAcentral is "tRNA-Pro". It matches the Rfam family "tRNA". From Rfam's summary of the family: Transfer RNA (tRNA) molecules are approximately 80 nucleotides in length. Their secondary structure includes four short double-helical elements and three loops (D, anti-codon, and T loops). Lineage: Bacteria; Bacillati; Actinomycetota; Actinomycetes; Micrococcales; Microbacteriaceae. The record is from RNAcentral.